Molecule: long non-coding RNA, 2371 nt
Organism: Equus asinus (donkey)
Lineage: Eukaryota; Metazoa; Chordata; Mammalia; Perissodactyla; Equidae
Source: Ensembl
CGGCCCCUAGCCACAUCUCCUAGAGCUCCUCCCCUGCCGCCCCUCCCCGCUCUCCCCCGUCGGGCCCCCUGCCGCCCCUCCUCGCGACCCCCGGCCCGCGGCGCUGCAGCCUGGCCGCUUGCCUCGUGGCCCGCCCGGCCCGGCUCCGAGUCGGCGGCGGCUGUGCUCGGACAUGGUUAAAAGAUCAAUAAGGGUUGUUGCUAUUGCUGCUGCUGCUGUUUUUAUGACUGCUGGUGUUGUUAUCAUCAUCUUCAUUAGCCCAUCGACCCACCCAGUGUCACCUUUGAGAGCAUCAAAUCAGCUAAUGUAUAUGAAAGCAGAUUAACCACACACACAUAUACACAUUAAGGCUCUCCUAGCAGAAACCACCAGGAGCGCACUGCAGUGUGCCCCUCUCUCCUCCGGCCGCCUGACUUCCCUAAGGACUGUCCUCUGAUCUGCUUUCUGUGGAGAAGGGUCACUCGGAGGAUUUGAAAACCCUCCCUACUUUUACUGUGUUAACACUCAUCGAGAGGAGCACUUUAGUAUUCGGCGUUUCUCAGCCUGGUGUGGUCAUGAGAAAACAAGAAGAAAACUCAGAGAGUUGAGCGUCCUGCGGAGAGGACAGCGUUGAGCAGCUGGGGAGCACGGAGCGCGGGCGGAGCGGCAGGAGCGGCGCUGGCCCCUCGGCGGCCGCGCGCUUGUCGGUCCCACGGUCCCACGGUCCCACGGCCUCAGGGCGCGCACGCCUCAGAGCAUCGGCAGCUGCGGACCUGGUUUCCCACAAGUGACCGGGGCGGAAGGUUAAAGACAGUUCAAAACAGGGUGACAGAAGUGUCCAUUAGACCUAGAAAAGGUCUUAAAGAUCAUCUUCUAGGGUAGUCUACCGCGUUUAUUUUACAAAUGGGGCCAUAAACUCCAGAGCAGGGAAAUACCUGGCGUAAAGCUGCAUAAUUUUAGUGAGGUUAGUUCUCUCCCUCGAUGGGGCUAAGACUGUGGAAGAGGGCAAACGCCUUGCGUGAAGCGUGCGCUGCUCUGUCUUUAUCUGUCCACGGUUCACUCGAGGAGAUCUUUUAGUGGCUAUGGUUUUGUGUCCGUGUGAGCUGCAAGAGAACAGUGAGCUAUUGUGUUCUGAUCUUGCAGGCACUAGACAAAGGCAGCGUGGUAAUGGACGCAUGCGCUAGCGAGUCCAUUUUGAUGGUUGGAUCGUAAUUUAUGCAUUUUACGUAAUCCCUAAUGCUUGGGCAACGAUUUAUCCAUCAGGUGACCAGGAAAUCCUGCUGGUCUCUGUCCUUUAGGUGUGUGGUUUGACUUUCUCUAAUGAUUUUUCAGAAGAUCUGACUGUGAUAAUUGGAGCCCAGGAGUUGAAGGGAGUUGUCACAAUUGCGUCUGUGUAUGGAGCAUUUUGAUACGGGCGGUUUAACAUCAGGCAGCCGGCAGGUGCAGGGACUCCUGCAUCCAUAUUAAGAGGAAGAGCAAGCUCUUUUUCUCCUCAAAUCUUCACUACCUGGAAUUAGAAUAGUUCGUUGGUUGAGGGUGGUGGGGGAAGAGAUACCACAGUUAAAGGAGCUGCAGAAUGGAAAGAAGGUACUAAUUAUCUCACUGUUCAGUAGUUUUUGUUUAGUGCUUUUACAUAUUGUGAAAUUUUCUUUUAUAAAGUUCCACUCAGUACAGACUUAGAAAUUUCACAUAAUGUUCCAAGGUUUGAUAAGAAAGUAACAAAAUAUAAGGUAGUGUUACAUACUGCAGUCUUUCUAUUUAAGAUAAAUGGGAUUUUUAAUUACAUUUUUUGGGGGAUAGACUUAAGCAAGCUAAAAUGAAGUUUCAAAGUGGGAGCUAAUUUGCUCAGGUGUCAGUGCUUUGAAUGAAGUACAGCAAAGUCAGAUAUGUUUAGCUGGAUCUAGAAAAUCAGAAAAGAUAGCCGUAGAUGAGGAUGUGCACACGGAUAUUUAAGUUGUAGUGCCUGUAGGGUUUGGAAGAAUGCUGGUCUGUAUUAUGCUGAUUCCCAUCUCCUCUCUGAGGUUGGCCCCAGGCUUCCUCGUGAGCGGGAGCAGUGACCUCUGCUUCCCCAAGGCCUUCUCUGGAGUGUUAAUGUCUUCUUGCACCAGGCCAUGUGCAAACACAGAGCUAAUUUGGAUUUAAAAUGUGUAGAGAGAGAAAGUCCAGAUGAUUUUCGUGGGUUUCAUUAGUAACUUGAAGGAGAGGUUGGGGCAGAAGGCAGGAGGGUGGAAAGAAUGGAGGUUCAGGCCUUUGAAGGCUGUGAGCAAUGGAGGAGCCUGGAGAUCCCUGGCCCGCUGCUACCUCCUGCCGCCUUUGAUUGUGGGCCCACAGAAAUGGGAGCGGCCAGCCCCGGGGGCUGGGGUUGGGGGGGAGGUGUGUGAAUCAGACAAAC